UACGUAGGGUGCAAGCGUUAAUCGGAAUUACUGGGCGUAAAGCGUGCGCAGGCGGCUAUGCAAGACAGAUGUGAAAUCCCCGGGCUUAACCUGGGAACUGCAUUUGUGACUGCAUGGCUAGAGUUUGGCAGAGGGGGGUAGAAUUCCACGUGUAGCAGUGAAAUGCGUAGAUAUGUGGAGGAACACCGAUGGCGAAGGCAGCCCCCUGGGUCAAGACUGACGCUCAUGCACGAAAGCGUGGGGAGCAAACAGG
Molecule: ribosomal RNA, 253 nt
Filed under: uncultured bacterium
Lineage: Bacteria
Description: partial 16S ribosomal RNA
Rfam family: Bacterial small subunit ribosomal RNA
Source: RNAcentral